GUGAUCACUGUAACGCCCUGAGUGUUGCGGAUGUUUCGCAGAAGUUGACCGAACUUGAUUAUUUAGAGGAAGUAAAAGUCGUAACAAGGUUUCCGUAGGUGAACNUNNNNNNNNNNNACNCANNNNAUCCUUACAGUUAUAAACAAAAACACAAUAUAUAAAAUACUUAUAUUGUAAAAUUAUGGCAAAUGCCAAAAAGAAACAAAAUAACAAUAAUAAAAAUGUUUAUUAUUGUAUCGCCUCCUAGGCAAAAAAGUAUAGUAUAUAAAGUGUUUGUGUGUGUGUUACACCUUACACAAAAAAUUACNUAUUUAUCUAAAAUUUGUAAAAACUGAAAUUGUGUGGACGUUGUUAUACAAAAUUAAUUUGUAUACAAAAUGUCUAAAAAUUUGAAAUACAUNANAUUAGAGUUGUACUUGUAUAAAAUUGAAAAGUAAUUUUAU
This 443-nucleotide ribosomal RNA is filed under the name Belvosia sp. Woodley04B. Its description in RNAcentral is "partial ribosomal RNA". Lineage: Eukaryota; Metazoa; Arthropoda; Insecta; Diptera; Tachinidae. The record is from RNAcentral.